GACGAACGCUGGCGGCGUGCUUAACACAUGCAAGUCGAGCAGUAAGGCCCUUUCGGGGGUACACGAGCGGCGAACGGGUGAGUAACACGUGGGUGACCUGCCCUCAGCUCUGGGAUAAGCCUGGGAAACCGGGUCUAAUACCGGAUAUGACUCCAUGACGCAUGUUGUGGGGUGGAAAGCCUUGUGCGGCUGAGGAUGGGCCCGCGGCCUAUCAGCUUGUUGGUGGGGNGAUGGCCUACCAAGGCGACGACGGGUAGCCGGCCUGAGAGGGCGACCGGCCACACUGGGACUGAGACACGGCCCAGACUCCUACGGGAGGCAGCAGUGGGGAAUCUUGCGCAAUGGGCGAAAGCCUGACGCAGCGACGCCGCGUGAGGGAUGACGGCCU
RNAcentral lists this ribosomal RNA (388 nucleotides) under uncultured bacterium. RNAcentral's name for it is "bacterial SSU rRNA". It matches the Rfam family "Bacterial small subunit ribosomal RNA", at positions 28 to 417 of the family's 1533-position model. The record is from RNAcentral.